This 425-nucleotide ribosomal RNA is filed under the name uncultured bacterium. Its description in RNAcentral is "bacterial SSU rRNA". It matches the Rfam family "Bacterial small subunit ribosomal RNA", at positions 356 to 773 of the family's 1533-position model. The record is from RNAcentral.
GGGGAAUAUUGGACAAUGGGGGAAACCCUGAUCCAGCCAUGCCGCGUGUGUGAAGAAGGUCUUAGGAUUGUAAAGCACUUUAAGUUGGGAGGAAGAGCAGUUAACUAAUAUUUGACUGUUUUGACGUUACCGACAGAAUAAGCACCGGCUAACUUCGUGCCAGCAGCCGCGGUAAUACGAAGGGUGCAAGCGUUAAUCGGAAUUACUGGGCGUAAAGCGCGCGUAGGUGGUUCGUUAAGUUAGGAGUGAAAGCCCCGGGCUCAACCUGGGAAUUGCUUCUAAAACUGGCGGGCUAGAGUAUGGUAGAGGGUGGUGGAAUUUCCUGUGUAGCGGUGAAAUGCGUAGAUAUAGGAAGGAACAUCAGUGGCGAAGGCGACCACCUGGACUGAUACUGACACUGAGGUGCGAAAGCGUGGGGAGCAAAC